RNAcentral lists this ribosomal RNA (351 nucleotides) under Aethina tumida (small hive beetle). RNAcentral's name for it is "partial 12S ribosomal RNA". The record is from RNAcentral. Lineage: Eukaryota; Metazoa; Arthropoda; Insecta; Coleoptera; Nitidulidae.
UGUAGACGUGAACUUGUAAAACUGAAUUAGUAAAAGUUAUGUUCUUGAAAAUUAAAGAAUUUGGCGGUAUUUUAGUCUAUUCAGAGGAACCUGUCCUGUAAUUGAUAAUCCACGAUUAAUAGUACCAAUGUUUUUAAUUUGWAUAUCGUUGUAGUUUAAAUAUUUUAGGAGAAUUAUAAUAUUUAAAAUUUUUAAUAAAGAAAGUUAAUCAGAUCAAGAUGCAGUUUAUAUAUUGGUAGAGAUGGGUUACAAUAAAUAUAUUUAUGGAAAAAUAGUUGAAAAUUAUUUUGAAAAUGGAUUUGAAAGUAAUUUUAUAUAUAUAUGUAAGAUGAUUUUAGCUCUAAAAUAUGU